This 497-nucleotide ribosomal RNA is filed under the name uncultured bacterium. RNAcentral describes it as "partial 16S ribosomal RNA". It matches the Rfam family "Bacterial small subunit ribosomal RNA", at positions 28 to 507 of the family's 1533-position model. The record is from RNAcentral.
GAUGAACGCUGGCGGCGUGCCUAAUACAUGCAAGUCGAGCGAACUUUUGGGAACUUUCCCCCAAUGGUGAGAGGGGGGGGGGGGAGUAAAACGUGGGGAAACUGUCUGUAAGACUGGGAGAACAUCUGGAAAACGGAGAUAAAACCGGAGAACAUAGAAUACAACAUGGCGUUCAAUUGAAAGGUGGCUUUUAGCUGCCACUUACAGAUGGACCCGCGGCGCAUUAGCUAGUUGGUGAGGUAACGGCUUACCAAGGCAACGAUGCGUAGCCGACCUGAGAGGGUGAUCGGCCACACUGGGACUGAGACACGGCCCAGACUCCUACGGGAGGCAGCAGUAGGGAAUCUUCCGCAAUGGGCGAAAGCCUGACGGAGCAACGCCGCGUGAGUGAUGAAGGUCUUCGGAUCGUAAAACUCUGUUAUUAGGGAAGAACAUAUGUGUAAGUAACUGUGCACAUCUUGACGGGACCUAAUCAGAAAGCCACGGCUAACUACGUG